GACGAACGCUGGCGGUGUGCUUAACACAUGCAAGUCGAACGGUAAGGCCCUUUCGGGGGUACACGAGUGGCGAACGGGUGAGUAACACGUGAGUAACCUGCCCUCAUCUCUGGGAUAACAGUCGGAAACGGUUGCUAAUACUGGAUAUGAGCUUGCAAGGCAUCUUGUGGGUUGGAAAGAUUUUUUUGGUUGGGGAUGGACUCGCGGCCUAUCAGCUUGUUGGUGAGGUAGUGGCUCACCAAGGCUUCGACGGGUAGCCGGCCUGAGAGGGCGACCGGCCACAUUGGGGCUGAGAUACGGCCCAAACUCCUACGGGAGGCAGCAGUGGGGAAUAUUGCACAAUGGACGGAAGUCUGAUGCAGCAACGCCGCGUGCGGGAUGACGGCCUUCGGGUUGUAAACCGCUUUCAAUUGUGACGAAGCUUUUUGUGACGGUAGCAGUAGAAGAAGCACCGGCUAACUACGUG
Molecule: ribosomal RNA, 466 nt
Filed under: uncultured bacterium
Lineage: Bacteria
Description: partial 16S ribosomal RNA
Rfam family: Bacterial small subunit ribosomal RNA
Source: RNAcentral